Molecule: ribosomal RNA, 240 nt
Filed under: Salmonella enterica subsp. enterica serovar Worthington
Lineage: Bacteria; Pseudomonadati; Pseudomonadota; Gammaproteobacteria; Enterobacterales; Enterobacteriaceae
Description: partial 23S ribosomal RNA
Rfam family: Bacterial large subunit ribosomal RNA
Source: RNAcentral
AGGGAAACCGAGUCUUAAUUGGGCGUUAAGUUGCAGGGUAUAGACCCGAAACCCGGUGAUCUAGCCAUGGGCAGGUUGAAGGUUGGGUAACACUAACUGGAGGACCGAACCGACUAAUGUUGAAAAAUUAGCGGAUGACCUGUGGCUGGGGGUGAAAGGCCAAUCAAACCGGGAGAUAGCUGGUUCUCCCCGAAAGCUAUUUAGGUAGCGCCUCGUGAACUCAUCUCCGGGGGUAGAGCA